This 11885-nucleotide unclassified non-coding RNA is filed under the name Pomacea canaliculata. RNAcentral's name for it is "protein crumbs-like, transcript variant X3". Lineage: Eukaryota; Metazoa; Mollusca; Gastropoda; Architaenioglossa; Ampullariidae. The record is from RNAcentral.
CCUUGUGUCACCUCUAAAUCCAGGUGAGAAAAUCGUUGACCGACUUUCUCACCAGCGCGUGAAGAAUUGUAAGGGGUAGAUAACUGGUGAGGAAUGUACACAGGGUAGCGUUUGUGUAGAUCGAGGUAAACAAACUACCUGACAAACAAAAAAUGUUUUCAUUGGCGCGCUGUCCUUUUUUUCAAGAUAAAUUGAUAAUGGAUGAUGAGACUGAUCAGAACAUUUAGAUGAAACAGAUUCUCAUCGAAUAGCUGUCGUUCUGUACGAAGGAAACAAAAGGAAAUAUGCGGAGCAUCUCGGCCAAAAGUCACGUGACAUUGUUUGAGGAAAGGGACGACUCGGCGAGAGCUGUUGGUUACUCGUGCGAUUGCUCCCCCCACUUUUCGCGAUUCGCCUCGAACGACCAGUCGUCGGCCGCGGAGUAAUGUUUUGUGCAAUCUGCAAUGCUCAGUGUGUCGUGUGACUCGUAUAAAGUGUUCUGAAGGCCAGGAAUAGCAGCCAUGGCGCAAACAAAAUGCUUGCUUUUGACCGGCACAUUUAUCUUACUGCUGGCUGCAGGGUGGCAUUGCUGCCAGUCCCAGACACCAUCAUCCUUACCUGCCUCUCCAAACCGCACUUUUGGAUACUUUAAUGCGACUUCCCAGGUGACGCUGCCGUCAUCGACAUGGAACCUGCAAAACACAAAAGAAGUGACAUUCAGGACGUGCAUGCCAGAUGGCACAUUUCUCCUGCAAACGGCAGCCUCUGUGAGCACUGGUGGUGCCCACCAUUUUAAACUUUAUUUGAGUAAUGGCACUGUGGUGUUCCAGUGGAGCUUGGGGACAGGCAGCAGCAUCUACAACAUCUCUACAGGCAGCAAUUUAGCAAACAACCAGCAGUACACAGUGAGGUUGACGUUUUUCCUUGGGGUGAUCAACCUAUAUGUGCUUCAGCAAAGUGUCAUCAAGUACAGUGCCACUGUGGCCAACUCCACAUUCAACAGCAACUUACUGUCUGCUGUAAUUAGUUCUACUGACCUGCUUGUGGGGCAGAACUUCACAGGAUGUUUGUUCUAUGGUCCUGGUGUGAAUUUUGCAUUGGCACUUGUGGCAGCAAAUGUUGCAUGGAACACGUGCCCAUUGCAGACAAGAUCAGGAUGUUCUGAAGUUGAAGCUGACGGGGAUAACUGCUAUUCAGUCAUCUGCCAAAAUGGCGGAACGUGCAAAGAUGGUUACAGAAAUUACACCUGUCAAUGUCUACCAAACUUCAAUGGCACUCUCUGCGAGAAUGAUCUUGCAAGGAUGUAUGGUUGUCAAAUUCAGCCAUGCCUGAAUGGUGCCACCUGUGUUCCCCAAACUCCCUCCACAACAGGUGGCUUUCCAUACCACUGUAACUGUGUUCCAGGCUAUGCUGGUCAGAAUUGUGAAACUGAGCUCAAUGAAUGCCAGAAGAACCCUUGUAAAAAUGGCAUCUGUAAUAGGCAGGUCAAUGGAUAUACUUGCAACUGCACAGGUACAGGUUUCAUGGGCACCAACUGCAGUGAGGACAUUAAUGAAUGUAACAGCUCACCUUGUGGUAUUGGCAACUGUUUUAAUAUCGCAGGUAGUUACAGCUGUGAAUGCCCUUUUGGCUAUGGUGGACCACACUGUCAGGAUAUUAAUGAAUGUCUUUCCUCACCUUGCCAAAAUAAUGGAACGUGUGUUGAUGGCCUGGCCAGCUUCACCUGUAGGUGUCCCCGUGGCUUCAAUGGCAGUCAGUGUGAACACAAUAUUGAUGACUGCAUUAAUAUCGUCUGUCCAGGAACCUUUAGAAUGUGUCAGGACCUUGUUGAAAGUUAUCAGUGUGUGUGUCUUCCUGGAUAUACAGGAGCAGCUGGGUCUGGCCCUUGCACUGAAAUCAAUGAAUGUUUGUCUAACCCAUGUCAGAAUAAUGCAACAUGCCAAAAUCUUAUCAAUGGCUAUAGGUGUAGUUGUUUACCGGGAUAUUCCGGCACCAACUGCCAGACAAAUAUAGAUGAUUGUGCCAGAAUACCUUGCGAAAAUAAUGCAACUUGCAUUGAUGGUGUCAACUCAUUCUGGUGUCAGUGUCAGCCUGGCUUCACAUCCUACAACUGCAGCACCAAUAUCAACGAGUGUCUUGGCAACAACUGCAAAAAUGGGGCCACUUGUAUUGAUCUUGUAAAUGGCUUCAGGUGUUCAUGUGCAGCAGGAUGGACAGGUGAAACUUGUGAAAGAGACAUAGAUGACUGUGCACCAAGACCUUGUUUACAUGGAUCUUGUGUUGAUCAUCUGGGAUAUUACACCUGCAACUGUGCACCUGGUUAUACAGGGAGUAACUGUGAUGUUGAUAUUAAUGACUGCUCACCAAACCCAUGUCUGAAUGGAGCUACUUGCACAGACAAAGUGAAUAAUUACACUUGUACGUGCUCAACAGAGUGGAUGGGCAGAAACUGUACUGAGGAGUACGAUGCAUGUUCAUUCCAUCCUUGCCAAAACAAUGCCAGUUGUACAUCCUUGAAGAGGCAGCGUAGUUACAACUGUGCUUGUCUCCUUGGCUUUAAUGGCACCAAUUGUGAAAACAACAUUGAUGAUUGUCUGGGAGUGACUUGUGAACGUUACCAUGUUUGUUUUGAUGGAAUCCACAAUUAUACCUGCGCAUGUCCCCGAGGAUUCACAGGUUUAAAUUGUUCAACUGACAUUAAUGAAUGUGAAAGCAACCCAUGCCAAAAUAAGGGUAACUGCACUAACUCCAUUGGUGGCUACAACUGCACUUGUGCCACUGGAAUUAAAAAUCCAGAUCACUACCAAACUGGCUGGACAGGUGUCAACUGUGAGACUGACAUCAAUGAGUGCAAUUAUGACCCACCAAUAUGUAAGAAUGGUGGCGUGUGCACGAAUCUGCCAGGAAGACACAGCUGCAGCUGCACUACACAGACUGAAGCAGGCGAAUUAAUCACUGGCUACAACUGUGAAUUGGUGACAUCGUACUGUACAUUUGAUGGGAAGAAGAAGUGUGAAAAUGGAGGAACGUGUAUUGGCAGAACUGGAGGCUAUGAUUGUCUGUGUGCUGCAGGCUUCACAGGUGCUGACUGCGAAAUAGAUAUAAACGAGUGUGUGUCAUCUCCUUGCCAAAAUAAUGGAACUUGCAUAGACAGAGUCAAUGGUUACAUGUGCCAGUGCAUUCCAGGUAUCACAGGUGGAAACUGUGAAACUAACAUUGAUGAGUGUGCAAGUAGCCCUUGUGGACAUGGUGCAUGUAUAGAUCAGGUCAAUGGUAGUGAUGAGGACAGUAAUACAACCUGGUGUCAGGGGCCUUCCUGUCUUGAUACCAGCCAUCGAUUCAUCUGUGAUUGCUUCAAUACUGGUUUUCAAGGAGAUUUUUGUCAAAACAAUAUUGAUGACUGCUUGAAUGCUACCUGCCAACAUAACAGCACUUGCUUGGAUCAAAUUAAGGGCUAUGCUUGUGACUGUUUAGCUGGCUACACUGGCUUGUCAUGUGAAGGAGACAUCCUUGAAUGUGCCUCAAACCCCUGUCAGUAUAAUGGAACAUGCCUAGAGUACUCUAACCAGACUCUUUACACACAAAAUCAUCUAGGAUUUUCCGUCUUCUCAUAUGCAACAGCUGCUGGAUACAAGUGUGAAUGUAUUUCUGGCAUCACAGGAGCAAACUGUGAGACCAACAUUGAUGAUUGUGUGCCUGGAGCUUGCCAGAAUGGUGGUACUUGUCAGGAUCUUAUCAAUAAUUUCACCUGCUUGUGUGCUUCUGGAUACCGUGGAAGCCGCUGCGAGACCGAGAUAAACGAAUGCCUGGAGUAUCGACCAUGCCAGAAUGGAGCCACAUGCAAGGACUUGAUUGCGGAUUACACCUGUCAGUGUCGAGCGUUCACUAUGACUGCAGCUAACUAUGGAGGGAAAAACUGCAGCGUGUAUUUGCGUGGCUGUGAUGUAAUCCAUCCAUGCCUUCAGGGCCAGUGCAUACCUCUUUUGUUGGAUGAAGCUUCAGAUAGGCAUGGCUACAGAUGUGAGUGUUACUCGGGCUUUACAGGAACAUUCUGCAAUCAGUCAACCACCAUGACAUUCAGCGCCACCGGUAGCAAAAUUUGGUAUGCACCAGAUGCAGGGGACAGUAGUUCUUUGUCACUGCGCUUCCGGACAACACUACGAGAAGCUGUUCUUGUGCUGUACAGUUUUUCAACAGAUAAUUUUGUGUCACUUGAAAUUCAUGGAGGACAGUUGGUAGUUAAAUAUCAGGACAACAGCACUCAGAUUAUUCAAAGCGUGGAGGCUCAGGACCGGGUCAAUAAUGCAGAAUGGCAGCAGGUCUUGCUCAGCUUGGGCCAAAACAUAUCUGUUGUGCUGAUUUCAAAAGUUUGUGGAACACAGCGAUGUCUCACACAGUUUAACUACCCACUGGGGAAGCCCAGCACCCACCAAACUUUAAUCUACUUUGGAUACCUUGACUCUCCGUUACGUGUGAGGACUGUUUCACAACAAACUUAUGUUGGCUGCAUGGAAGACAUCAAAAUCAACAACAUUUACUUCUUUGAUGGGCAACCACAGGGUCAGUACCAGAACAUGACACAUGGGUGUCCACGAAUAGAGCAGUGCGAUCCUUACACAUGUUCUCGCCAUGGCACUUGUGUUGAUUUUUGGGAUACAUUUAACUGCGAAUGUGAUCGGCCCUAUUGGGGAACCCGAUGCGAGAAAGAGUACACAUCAGCAACCUUUUAUAAAGAUGGCAACCCAAGCAUGGUUCGUUUUGCUCUCACUGCUAAUGUCACUAGCUCUUUUCAAAGUGGCAUAGAAAUUUCUUUCUUCAUGCGUACACGAGAAGAAGAUGGUAUUAUCAUGUAUCUUGGCAACUUUGAACAAGAAGGGACACUCACAUACAUCACUUUAGAGAUGAAUGGUGGCCGUUUGGCAGUACGGUUGCGUUUCUGCACUUUUGGCAAUUUCUUUAACUCAUCUGGAGGUGUUCUUAAUGGAGGAUCCAUAAACUUUGUACGUCUGAACUUUACUUCCUCAACUCUUGUCUUAGAAGUGAACCAGCAAGUAGUUAUUUACCAAAACAUACCUACACCUCCCUGUAACCUGACUGCAGCAUUAAUCCUACUGGGUAAAGUGGUUACACCAUCCAGCCCAACAAUUCGUAGAAAGCGACGCCAGGCUAAUACAGAGCUCUCAACAGUGUUGAGCUUGCAGCCUUUUAAUGGUGUGGUACAGGACGUUCGGCUGCAAGGCUUUAAGCUGGAUUUCUACGACCGCAAUGCUUCAGGUGAUACAAUGGUGUUAAAGAUGACAGAUUCGCAGAACCUCACCUUGGGCACUUAUUCAACGCAGAAUGUUUGCAACAUAAGUCGGCCCUGUGAUAAUGGAGGGACUUGCCAUGAUGUCUUCUUCAAUGACUUCAGCUGUGAUUGUCCUGCUGGUUAUCUGGGAAAAAACUGCAGCCAGCUUGAUUUUUGCAAAAACAACAGUUGUCCCAGCUGGGCUACAUGCAAAAGUCUACAGAUUGGCUUUGAAUGUAUUAGCACUGGAUCGUUCAAUGGAAUUAACAGUGUGGUGCAGUUCCAGAAGAAUUUGACAGGCUAUCUCCCUUUCCAGGAGCUGUCUUUUCGUCUUCGCACACAAGCAAUUUAUGGCGUCAUAUUUGAAGCUAGAAAUAACAACUUUUUCAUAAAAGUCCGUCUUUGGGAUGGAAGCUUGCAAAUCAACUACCUUUUGAAAAGUGGGUGGUCUGAAGUUGUUCACUUAACACCACACUUUGAAGUCAAUGAUGGCCUUUGGUCAGAUGUUAAAUUGGACGUCACCAAUAACAGUCUGGUUUUGAUGUUGAGCAGAAAUGGAAGUAUCUUGGUAGAAAGUGAAAAGCGUACUUUAGAAGGGGCUGUUGUGAACUUUGCUUCUUUAGUGGAAGAUGGCAUCGUGACUGUUGGCGGAGUUGCUGACAUGAAGGAACAGGCAUUCAAAGGCUGCCUGGAAGAGGUCAGAGUUGGUGGACUUCUUCUGCCCUUUGUAACUAGAUCUCAAAUGGUCAACAAUGAUGCAGUCCAACACUUCAUAGCAAUGUCUACAAGCAGCAUUCAACAAGGGUGCCUUGUUCCAACCCCUUGUGCGAAAAACAUUUGCUACAACAGUGCACAGUGUUAUGAGUCGAGCAGAGGUUAUCAGUGCCAAUGCCCAGUUGGUUACACUGGUCAGUACUGUCAAGCUAAUGUGAAUGACUGUUUUUCAAACCCAUGCCAGAAUGGAGGGCAGUGUGUGGAUGGUGUCAAUACUUUCACUUGCAAAUGUCGUCCAGGAUUUCAAGGAUCAAAGUGUGAAUAUUCAGACGACCUCUGCAGCAACUCAUCUUGCCCCAACAACAGCCAGUGUGUGCAAGAUUCCAAAUUUUCCAGAGGUUACAGAUGCAAUUGUUCCAAUCAAAAUUUCACUGGGGAUUUCUGUAAUGUCACGGUACAUCAGAACUGUACACAAGAACUGUGCCAUAAUAGUGGCAACUGUACCCAGAAUGCAUCUUCAUUUUCCUGCAGUUGUGCUCUUGGUUUUCUUGGACCCCUCUGUGAGUCCAAAGAAAACUUUUGUGCAAGCUUGCCAUGUUUAAAUAAUGGAAGUUGUACAUUCAAUUCAUCUGGGUAUACAUGCUCCUGUCCUGCAGGCUUCUCAGGACGUAAUUGUGAGCCGAUUAUCACGUGCACCAACACCACCUGUAAAAAUGGUGGAGUCUGUGCUGAUGACAAUAACUGCAGAUGCACUGCAGGAUGGAUUGGUAGAACAUGUGAAACUGAUGCGAAUGAAUGUAACUUUAACCCAUGUGCUCACGGAAGUUGCAUCAACAUGAAUGGGAGUUAUUCCUGCAAUUGCACAGACACUGGAUAUGGUGGUGUAAACUGCACUGAUGAGCUGAAUGAGUGCGAUCUAGGAUUCUGUCAACAUGGUACCUGCAAUGAUACAGAAGGAAACUACACUUGUAGCUGCGACAAUGGUUACAAGGGUCUGAACUGUUCGAUUGCCACCUGUGAUAAUAUCAUCUGUGAGAAUAAUGGCACAUGUACUAUUACUGAUGAUCAUACAGCAUGGAAAUGCCACUGCCCUCAGUAUUAUGGAGAUCCUUUUUGUAGGCUUAAAGGGCCGUGUCUCAAAAGUCCUUGCAAUUCCUCAAACACAGAUUAUUGCAAUCAGACAGAAGAUUUCUACAUCACAAACUCAUCUCGGCAGUGUAUAUGUAAAGCAGGUUGGGAAGGAGACUCAUGCUCAGAUGAUAAAAAUGAAUGCAGCAAUACCAAUUUAUGUCUGAAUGGUGCCUCUUGCCAGAACACACCUGGUGACUUUAUGUGUCAGUGUCCUUCUGGUUAUGAUGGUAAGCAUUGUGAUCAUGACAUUGACGAAUGCGCAUCCAGCCCUUGCCAGAAUAAUGGUGUUUGUUCCCAAACUAUAAACAACUACACCUGCAGCUGUAAUGGCACAGGGUAUCAAGGGCAAAACUGCACAGAGGACAUAAACGAAUGUGAGGAAAGCUCUCAGUGUAACAAUGGUAACUGCAGCAACACUGUUGGAAACUUCACCUGCCUUUGUGGUGACCUUUACUUGGGUAGGUUUUGCGAGUACAACAACCCCUGCAGUGGGCAGGUCUGUGCCAAUAGAGGCACCUGCAGCCCGAUCUUUGACACAAAUUCUGACUCCUACAAAUAUCAGUGCACCUGCAGUGAUGGGUACCAAGGUGACACCUGUGAACAGAGCCCAGAGAAAACAAGUGGUGUUGAACCAUAUUACAUUUAUGCGCCCAUCAUAGCUUUCAUCCUGCUUGCUCUUCUUAUUGGUGUAAUUGUUUUUAUCAUAAUUGCAAAAAAUAAACGGGCGACUAGAGGAGCAUACAGUCCAAGCCAGCAGGAGACAGCUGGAUCACGUGUAGAGCUCGGCAAUGUACUAAAGAAACCUCCAGAAGAACGCUUGAUAUAAACAAAUGCAUUGCAUAUGGUGGUCAGGUAGAUCAGGGUGUGGAGAGAAUGGCGGAUGCACCACAGGCCUUUUAAGAUAUCAUCUACAUUUCCUGAGCUUACUAUUCUGCAGCAUCUUAAACCCAAAUGUUCUUGCAAAAGUGUCAGGAAGCAUUCAUCAUAAUAAUAAGGAUUACAGGAUCCGUAAGUUGAAUAUGUGGUUUGCAUCUUUUUUUUGUUUUGGGGCUUUUUUUUUUUUUUGCCAAGGAUUGCAAGAGUUCAUCUAUGCAAACAGCACGUUAGAAAAUAAUUGUCAAUGUGUCAGUUGCAGAAUGAACUUUUAUGUGCAUGUUUGUGUUUUCAAAUUUAGUUGUUCUUUAUUCAUUUGUCAAAUGGAAAUGAUAUUGUUUUACAUAAAAAGACAUUACUUUAAAGUUGUUGUUUUGUUGUUGUUUUUUUUUGUUUUGGUUUUUUUUUAUUUUUUUUUUUAGAUUCUUGCAUCAUGACAUUUCUAUUUCUUGUCAAAUAUUGUGCAACAUUCUUCAAGUCUUUAUAUCCUGGUAAAAUAUCAGCAUGGCAGUUUUUGUACUAUGGUAGGUAGAGAACAGCAACAAAAACAGGAUUAGCUAUGGCACCAGAUUAAUACAAUAUUUAACAGCUAAGUAAGCUACUUCAAGUAAAUUUUUUCAAAUGUUUCAAAAGUCUUUUAUAUAAAUCUUUUCUCCCCUUCUUUUAUACAUAGGGUCUAAAAAGUGUUCUUAUCAAGUUGGGUCACUUCUUUCUUUUCAAGAUGCUGGCAGCAGGGGAAACAAUCUGAUGCCAUGCCAUCAUAGUUCUCGUGGUGUCUUGCAGUCUCCCACCCCCAUUCUACUUCACCCCAAUUUUUUGUUUGAAGAUUUUUUGAUUAGACGAUGAUAAAAUGCAGAAAAGACAUCAUAAUUUCAGUGGAACUGUCAGCUGUAUUUUCAUUUUACUCUUGAUUCAUUGGUUAAUAGCAUGUCUGCUGUUGAUUCUACACAGCUUGAUUGUGUGACCUUCAAAGUGUAUCUUACCAAAUAUUUGUAUUUAUUUCAGUAAGAGAGUAUUUACAUCCAUGUAUGAUUGUUGUGAACAUGUGUAUGUACAUUUAUUGAUUUGCACGUGCAUACACCUAUUGGCUCUGUUUCUUUGUAUAAAUUCCUGCAGCAUAAUUAAUAUUCCAAUCAUCAUCAGUGUUAUGAGAUCAAGAUUAUCAAAGAAAGCUAUACUAUGCAAUGGUGCAUUCAUUGCAUAUUUUUAUAAACAGCUUCAUGGAAAACAAUUUACAUUUGAUGUGUAGCUGCUGGUAGUUUUGCACUUAUUAUUAACCAGAUGGAACCAUUGUACUCAUUUAAAUAUAUUCAUAUUUGUAUUUUAUGGGAAUUAAUAAGCAUUUUGGGCCAAAGGCAACACAAUGUGCAAGAUAUGUUUGAAGUACUUUGUCCAUCAAAUACAUUCUUUUGAUCAAUCCAUCCUUAUAACCUGCUUGGAAGGAAGUAUAAUUGUGAAAGUUUGAAUGACCACAACAGUUUAAAGUAUCAGUUUUCAAAGCUGUAGAGGCUUAACUCCAGAUAUGAGUGUGACAAUAAUUUAGCAGUCACUGUAGUUUUUCAUAUUAGGUGGUGAUGGUGUCAAGACUGCUUUUAGUGUGGAGAGUACAAAAAUACUACUUAUUUAACAGGAGAGUGGGAGAUCUUUCAGAGGAUAUAUGCAGACUUCUUGGCUAGAGCCAGGGUUAGUUUGUCAAGACAGCUGUGACCUAGCUUUGCCUGCUUUAAAUAUACCUAAGCUGAGGAUGAAAAACCAUUAUUUAUACACCUAUAACCUGCUAAAUCUUUUAAAAAAUAAAGUUUGAAGUUGUCAAGACAGAGAAAAUCUUCAAAUGUGAUUUUCAGAUUGUAUGUAAUCGAACUUGAUCCUAAAUUGCUGCCAAAGAGAGGUAUUUAAAGCAGGACCUAAUUGAAAAUAUUUUUAAUGUGAAGAGAGCUGUACUUAAAAAUGGUUAUUGUGUUGUUCUAACCAGGAUUUGCCUUUACCAGAUUUUUUUCCUUGCCCUGCACCACUGUAAAGCUGUUGGGCCUAAGCAAGCCCUUGUGAGACUGAAUUUUUUUUUCUUUGUCUUUGUCUUUUUUUUUUUUUUUUGAGUCACAUUCAGAAGACUGAACAAUUGUGUGUGUGUGUGGAGCUAUGUUUCUUGUGCCGUGAAGUAUCUGUUACAUCUUAAUGAAUCCUUGUUGUGAGGGGAGCAAAGAAAUGAAUUAGAGUGUCUUUUGGGAGAAAGCAUGUUUCAACAAGUGUGAAUAUACAGAGAUUACAAGUGACUUAUACACCACACACAUCAUUUGCUGUAUUUGGAGAUUCCUCUGCGGGCUUUGGCGAACACCACUGUUCAAGGAGAAACCUACAGGUUUUAAUAUUUUCAGAAUAGGGGAGGGAGUUGUUCAUGCAUUUUUUCCUUAGUUGUGGAGAAUAACCUUGGAGCAUUAUGCUAUUUUGUUUCUAAUCAUUCAUCAAUUUAAACAUAUCUCGUUUCUUCUACAGCAGUGAAUUCAUUUGCAUUCCAAAGAAUUUUUGCCUACCUCAGUUUGUGCAUUAAUGAAUUUUUUUUUAAUCUCAACCACAUAUUAAAAUUCUUGCAACACUGAAUGAUUGAGACAUGAAAGUCUGAUGGUGGGUUUUUGGGGGGUAGGGGAAUUGGAUGAAAUGGAGUGUCGUGCACAAUGUACGUAGGUUAUUUUGUGAUACCCAAAUAUUAAAAGUCAGCCUGUAUGUGCCUGGGUCUUAAAAAGAUGAAUUACAUGCUUAAGGAUACCCAAAUAUUAAAAGUCAGAUGUGCCUGCAUCUUAUAAUGAUGAAUUACAUGGAAAAUCGGCCUUUUUAUUAGCUGUAUUUUUUCAUUGAUUGGAGACCAGCCAUUUUUCAGUAAUUAAAUUUUGUGGAGGUGAUUGGAUGAUUGAACAAACAAGAAUGAUAUAAAGGUGUUUUCUGCAUGCAGCUAAAAUGGACACGCUAAGAGGAUUUUUUUUUUUUUAAGGAAUGGGAAUGUAAAACAGAGGUGGAUUAGCUUAUAUGUUUUAUGAAGAAAAUGAUGUGUGAUGCAUUCAUUCCAGCCUUUGCAACAUUAGAUGGGACAAGUUUUGUCUGCGGCUGAUCAGGUUUUGUCUGCAGCUGACCAUCUGUGCUGUAAAAGCGAAAGAGAAUUUCUGCUCAAGGAUUCCAUGCCAGUCCUAAUCUCAGGGUUGGUGAUAGAAGUCUGCAGCAUUAUAGAUAACUAUGCACUGUUGGUGUGCCACCUUUUCACAAGAUUGAAAAUCAUUCCAGGAACACCACUCCUGUUUCAGUUUCAUUUCACUAAACAUUGAAUUUUUAAAAAAGACAAACCUGUUUUUCAGUUUAGCCCUUUGAACCUGGGAGAUCAGCUUUCCUGCUUGUUAAACAUGUAAAAAGAUGUAACUUCUCAAAAUUGUUUUCAAAGUUUUGUGAUAGCAGUAAAUUUCUGGUUAUUACCGCUGGGUGUCUGUGUUCAAACUACAAACUUUCUGGAAUAGUCAUUCUCAGGAGGAUCUGUUUUAUGCUGCUUGCAGUUAAUAAAGCUUGAUCUUUUUAUCUAUAGGGUUAAUAUAUAUAUAUUGAUCUUUUGCACGAUGUCAUGAAAAUAUACCUGCGUCCAGAUCAUGUUCUAGCACCUCAAGGGGAAGGAAACCUUUACAGAUUGUUAAACACUGAAUCUGGCUGUGUCCAAUAUGGCGGUUGUGAAAAAAAUGUUUGUGAUAUAAAUGAUAUUAUGCAUAUUCGUCUUGAAUUCUUGUUACUAACCAUAGUGUGGUUUCUGAAGAAAAGACAAAUUUAAGAACCUCACUGUUUGAACAUCUGUACAUAAGGAUCAUGCUAUCAAUCAUGAACGAACAUUUUUUUACAUAUAUUUUAUUGACAAUAAACAUGAGACUAUAAA